This is a long non-coding RNA of Wyeomyia smithii (pitcher-plant mosquito), 943 nucleotides long. RefSeq lists it as uncharacterized. The record is from RefSeq and is a predicted model, not a curated record. The transcript is spliced from 4 exons. NCBI's taxonomy places the organism in Eukaryota, Metazoa, Arthropoda, Insecta, Diptera, Culicidae.
GGAAAACUGCCGGAGGCUCAGGGUACGUUAAUGACAAGGUAUUCUGGACUCGAAGUGUAUCGAUACACGAUUCACACAUACACUCUCAACUAUUACGUGUUGGCUUUGAUAGAGUGCAGUAAUUGCAUAGCAGUUGAGAACAAAAAAUAUUCUAUGACUCUAUGUGUGGUACUGGAUUGCCGGAGCGUUCGGUCAUCGAAAUCCAAGCUCGAAUCUCCCUCGAAUUCUGUAAACCUAUCCCACAAAUUAUCUUUCCACCGAUUCCCGAGAGAUGCGGCCAUUCGGAAGAAAUUGCUCCGAUUUUUUGGACAGGACCAAAGCACCAACACGAAUAAUAUGUACAUUUGCUCGCUUCAUUUUAGUCCGGAUUGUUUCAUGUAUAUCGAUGGCUUGGAAGUACAAUAUCGUCGAAAAUUGAUUCCCACAGCUGUUCCUUCUAUCAGGAAGGCCGAAAAUAAGAAGCCCUCGAGACAGCAUAAGCGAAAAGCCUUGAUUGACAUCAAACAACAGCUGAAUCAUAACAAAAAAAAACGUAUCUGCUGCUGAAAAGUUCCAUUUUUCUAUUGGGACGCAACUUAACUAUUCGGAUAAAGUACUACAUCGAAGAACCAACGAGAGCUUCAGGAAGCUAAAAAACGAAUUACCGAACUCGAAAAAGCCAACAAAGAUUUACAGCUAGUCAAUAAACAGCAAACAUUGCUUGAAUCCAAGGCCAUUCUAUCAAAACGAUACACAAAAAACCAAAUCGACAUCAUGCUUGAUCAAAAAAAGAAAGUCAAGCAAUGGUCUGCCGAGGAAUUAGCGAUGGGAUUUACCCUCAACUAUUUGAGAAAGCCUGCACUCAAGUUUAUUAGCCAAACAUGCCAUUUUCCCUUACCAUCAGCAAAAUGUCUACACGAUUAUGCCGCUAAAAUCAAUAUAACUGCUUAAAAUAAUUGGUUUC